Molecule: ribosomal RNA, 253 nt
Filed under: uncultured bacterium
Lineage: Bacteria
Description: partial 16S ribosomal RNA
Rfam family: Bacterial small subunit ribosomal RNA
Source: RNAcentral
UACAGAGACUGCAAGCGUUAUUCGGAUUCACUGGGCGUAAAGGGCGCGUAGGCGGCCCGCUAAGUCGAACGUGAAAUCCCCGGGCUCAACCCGGGAACUGCGUCCGAUACUGGCGGGCUUGAAUCCGGGAGAGGGAUGCGGAAUUCCAGGUGUAGCGGUGAAAUGCGUAGAUAUCUGGAGGAACACCGGUGGCGAAGGCGGCAUCCUGGACCGGCAUUGACGCUGAGGCGCGAAAGCCAGGGGAGCAAACGGG